This 480-nucleotide ribosomal RNA is filed under the name uncultured bacterium. Its description in RNAcentral is "bacterial SSU rRNA". It matches the Rfam family "Bacterial small subunit ribosomal RNA", at positions 28 to 507 of the family's 1533-position model. The record is from RNAcentral.
GACGAACGCUGGCGGCGUGCCUAAUACAUGCAAGUCGAGCGGGGAUUAUGCUUGAUCGCUUCGGUGAGACGGCAGAUAUCCUAGCGGCGGACGGGUGAGUAACGCGUGGGUAAUCUACCUCGUAGUUCGGGAUAACAGGCCGAAAGGCUUGCUAAUACCGGAUGAGUUCAUGCUUAUGCAUAUAGGCAUGAAGAAAGGGCUAGCCCGCUAUGAGAUGAGCCCGCGUCCCAUUAGCUUGUUGGUGGGGUAACGGCCUACCAAGGCAACGAUGGGUAGCCGGCCUGAGAGGGUGUACGGCCACACUGGGACUGAGACACGGCCCAGACUCCUACGGGGGGCAGCAGUAGGGAAUUUUCGGCAAUGGGCGAAAGCCUGACCGAGCGACGCCGCGUGAGGGACGAAGGCCUUCGGGUUGUAAACCGUCUGUCUGGGGGAGUGAGAACGGACGGUACCCCGGACGGAAGCCCGGCUAACUACGUG